Neomonachus schauinslandi (Hawaiian monk seal) is the source of this 105-nucleotide small nuclear RNA. The record is from RefSeq and is a predicted model, not a curated record. Lineage: Eukaryota; Metazoa; Chordata; Mammalia; Carnivora; Phocidae.
GUGCUCACUUUGGCAGCACAUAUACUAAAUUGGACUGAUACAGAGAAGAUUAACACAGCCCCUUGCAAGGCUGACAUGCAAACUCAUGCAGUGUUCCAUAUUUUA